Molecule: ribosomal RNA, 438 nt
Filed under: uncultured soil bacterium
Lineage: Bacteria
Description: bacterial SSU rRNA
Rfam family: Bacterial small subunit ribosomal RNA
Source: RNAcentral
AGGACGAACGCUGGCGGCGUGCUUAACACAUGCAAGUCGAGCGGUAAGGCCCUUUCGGGGGUACACGAGCGGCGAACGGGUGAGUAACACGUGAGCAAUCUGCCCUUCACUUCGGGAUAAGCCUCGGAAACGGGGUCUAAUACCGGAUAUGACCGCGCUACGCAUGUGGUAGUGGUGGAAAGUUCUGGCGGUGGAGGAUGAGCUCGCGGCCUGUCAGCUUGCUGGUGGGUAAUGGCCUACCAAGGCUUCGACGGGUAGCCGGCCUGAGAGGGUGACCGGCCAACGACGUCGGGACUAGGAGACACGGCCCCAGACUCCUACGGGAGCAGCAGUGGGAAUAUGGACAAUCGGGACUAAAGGCCUAGGACUCCAAGCCUAACGGCCGCGUGAGGAGUGGACGGCCUUACGGGUUGUAACCUGUUUACAGCGUACCGAACG